This 253-nucleotide ribosomal RNA is filed under the name uncultured bacterium. RNAcentral describes it as "partial 16S ribosomal RNA". It matches the Rfam family "Bacterial small subunit ribosomal RNA", at positions 524 to 776 of the family's 1533-position model. The record is from RNAcentral.
UACGGGGGGGGCUAGCGUUGUUCGGAAUGACUGGGCGUAAAGGGCGCGUAGGCGGCUUUUUAAGUGAGGCGUGAAAGCCCUGGGCUUAACCCAGGAGGUGCGUUUCAUACUGAGGAGCUUGAGUACGAGAGAGGAAAGUGGAAUUCCUAGUGUAGAGGUGAAAUUCGUAGAUAUUAGGAAGAACACCAGUGGCGAAGGCGGCUUUCUGGCUCGUAACUGACGCUGAGGCGCGAAAGCGUGGGGAGCAAACAGG